GGAACAAUAUACUCUAGCAAUAUAUAACGAAUUUUUUUCUUCAUCUUGACAAAUUCUAUCUCCUGUUCGUAAUCCAGCAGACUAAAAUUGAUGAGAGUUUCAAGCAUUUUUUUGCCUUGGUCAUGCGCAUCUAUUAGGCCAUCGAAUAUCCAUCUUUGCAUCAACAACUCUGAAGCAAUCCACCCAUUCUCACAAAAAAAGUGCAUAAUUUCUCAAACAUUUUCUUGUUUUGUCAUCCUGCAGACGCUCAUAGCUAAACAUCAACACAUUAGCCAUUAGGAUUUCUAUUUUUUCUUGGUCAGAGUCAGGUUUCCUUCUCAACGUUUCAAGCGCUCUUCUCCACACCUCAACAUCAGAAACAUCUUUCAAUGCCCCUGCCAUCAGGACGAUGGCAAGUGAAUAGUCAGCACACAUGUUAAGCACUUGAGUUGCUAGCGGUUUGAGGCUUGAAGAAUCAGCAACUUCACCAACAUUCCCAUGGAACAAUUCCCAAGACGAUAAAUCUUUUAGUCCUAUCUUCGAAUACACUCCCAUUGCAUCGCAUACUUCCUCUGAUCUAGCUAUCAGAACUAUCUUGCAACCAUUUUCAGCGGUUGGCCUGGGGAUUCCAACCUUUUCCAAACUAAUAAACUGACGAACAUCAUGUAGAAUUAACAAAAACUUCAUGCGCUCUAACACCAUUAACAGUUCCCAUGAGUUAAUAUUCGUGCUAUCAAUCACAUUUGAGGGCAGUUGUCCUGAAAUUUCCAGCUGCAAAUUUCUCAGAUUCCAAACUUUGGGAACAGUAACCCAAAUAAUGUUUUCGAACAUAUCCGCGACCAUGGUCGCAAACAAAUACUGCAAGCCUUCUACAAAACGUUUUUGAAUCUUUGCUCCUCCAUAAAUCCCAAUCCUGCCCACAUCUGAAUCUUCAAUGCUUUCCAUGAUUCUUCUAAGACUACAUUCCAUUUCUUGAUCUGUAGACACAUCAAAUGGUUUAUUUAUUUUGGCUGAACAACUGCUCUCCUGAACUGGUGCAGUCUCUAGUCCUAUUUUUUGUGGUCCAGCUAUGCUUCGAUAAUAGUCGCAAUCUGAAAUGUCACCUUUAGGUAGCAUAAGUCCUGGGGUGUUGCUUCUGCCUAUCUCGUAUUUAAUGGAAAGUGCACCGCUCUCUUUUCUCCCUCCUACACGUUCUAUAGAUGCCAUUGUUUUCUCAACCAGCUCUUCAACAAUCUUAGUCAUUAUUCGACCUCUCCUAGGUAGUGACGAUGUUUGUCCCUUGCUUGUCUGUUUAUCUUCAAAAAUCUUAGUCAUUAUUUGAACUCUCCUAGGUAGUAACGAUGUUUGUCCCUUGCUUGUCUGUUUAUCUUCAAAAAUCUUAGUCAUUAUUUGAACUCUCCUAGGUAGUA
Molecule: unclassified non-coding RNA, 1388 nt
Filed under: Hevea brasiliensis (rubber tree)
Lineage: Eukaryota; Viridiplantae; Streptophyta; Magnoliopsida; Malpighiales; Euphorbiaceae
Source: RNAcentral